Molecule: small RNA, 2097 nt
Filed under: uncultured Bradyrhizobium sp.
Lineage: Bacteria; Pseudomonadati; Pseudomonadota; Alphaproteobacteria; Hyphomicrobiales; Nitrobacteraceae
Description: bacterial LSU rRNA
Rfam family: Bacterial large subunit ribosomal RNA (bases 940-2097)
Source: RNAcentral
UGCGGCUGGAUCACCUCCUUUCUAAGGAUGAUCCUUCAGCGAGCUCGCGCUCACUAUCGGAUCGUUUUAGGAACAUCAGUGGCCAACAGAUCGCCAGAUCGUUGAGCUGCAUUGGCGGGAUUUCGCCGUCUUCGUUUCUCUUUCUUCGCGGACGAACACGCGCUGGGCCUGCAUCAAGCAGGAUCCCACGGUCCCUGACGGGAUAUGCGUUAGGGGCUUGUAGCUCAGUUGGUUAGAGCGCGCGCUUGAUAAGCGUGAGGUCGGAAGUUCAAGUCUUCCCAGGCCCACCAGCCUUCGCGCUUCGCUGCUUCGGCUAGGCAAGCCCUUCGAAACGAAGGCUGCCGCGCCGUAGCCUUGGCGAAGGCGGGCUAAUCAAACGAGCAUUCGUCUUCUGGUUACGGGGCCAUAGCUCAGCUGGGAGAGCGCGUGCUUUGCAAGCAUGAGGUCGUCGGUUCGAUCCCGUCUGGCUCCACCAGCCUUCGCAGGCUACGCCUGCUUCGGCUAGGCGAGCCAGCCGGUAGCGAAGGCUGCCGCGCCAUAGCCGAAAGGCGAAGGCGGGCUACUUCUGAUCCCGUAACCAUCAUCGUCCGCGAAACAUCACUUCGCAUCCUGCUAGUCUGGAUAGACAGCAAGAUGCGUGUUUUCUGACAUCGUAAAGAGGAGAUCGAUCCGAGUUGGGUCGUGCAGCAGAUUGUUGCGCGAAUCCUCCAUUAUCUCCGGAUCAUUUUCGGCGCUCGCUUUCAGCCGUGAGGUUGAAUGCGAGUUGUAAAAUGAUCCUUUUAGCGAAGCUUGACCGCCUCGCUAUCGGAACGAUCUUACGAAGCAAGCUGGUCUUUCUAGUCAAUGUCCGGCUGCAGAUAGCGUUCAUCGAGGGCGCGCGCCGCAAGGUAAUUCUGCAGACAACAUUCUGCCGAGUGUGUGGACAUUGAUAAUGAGAGCAAUCAAGUGCCUUAAGGGUGUUCGGUGGAUGCCUUGGCGCUGAGAGGCGAUGAAGGACGUGCUACGCUGCGAUAAGCCGUGGGGAGCUGCGAAGAAGCUUUGAUCCGCGGAUUUCCGAAUGGGGAAACCCACCUUCGAUAGCCGGAACUCCAAGACCUUGUGUCUUGGUGUUCGACCAGAAAUGAUCGGGACCAUGACCCUUGAGGUUUUGGAUUUCCGGUUAUCAAGAGAAGGUAUGAGACUUCUGAAUACAUAGGAGGUUUCAAGCAAACCCAGGGAACUGAAACAUCUAAGUACCUGGAGGAAAGGACAUCAACAGAGACUCCGUUAGUAGUGGCGAGCGAACGCGGACCAGGCCAGUGAUACAUCAAAGACAAUCGGAACCAGUCAGGAAAGCUGGGCCUUAGAGGGUGAUAGCCCCGUACGAGUAAUGCGAUGAUGUAUCCACGAGUAAGGCGGGACACGUGCAAUCCUGUCUGAACACGGGGGGACCACCCUCCAAGCCUAAGUACUCCUCAGCGACCGAUAGCGAACCAGUACCGUGAGGGAAAGGUGAAAAGCACCCCGACGAGGGGAGUGAAAUAGACCUGAAACCGGACACCUACAAACAGAUGGAGCUCAAGAUUCGUUCUGGGUGACAUCGUACCUUUUGUAUUAUGGGCCAGCGACUUAAUUUAACGAGCAAGCUUAAGCCGAUGGGCGAAGGCGUAGCGAAAGCGAGUCUGAAUAGGGCGCCAAGUUCGUUGUAUUAGACCCGAAACCUAGUGAUCUAGCCAUGAGCAGGUUGAAGGUGAGGUAACACUCACUGGAGGACCGAACGGGUGCCUGUUGAAAAAGGCUCCGAUGACUUGUGGUUAGGGGUGAAAGGCCAAUCAAACUGGGAAAUAGCUGGUUCUCCGCGAAAGAUAUUUAGGUAUCGCCUCGCACGAAUGCUUCGGGGGGUAGAGCACUGGAUGGGCUAGGGGGACUUACCGUCUUACCAAACCCAACCAAACUCCGAAUACCCGAAAGCAAUAUGCGGGAGUCACACGGCGGGUGCUAACGUCCGUCGUGGAGAGGGAAACAACCCGGACCUACAGCUAAGGCCCCUAAUUCGUGGCUAAGUGGGAAAGGAUGUGGAAAUCCCAAAACAACCAGGAGGUUGGCUUAGAAGCAGCC